CCCGGGAUUAGUCGGGAUGCUGUUCCUGGACAUCCAGUGCCAAUAAAAAAAAAAAUUGAAGAAAUUGGAACACUUUCUUCUAUAGGUAAUUCUCUCCUGGCCAAGUCUAAAGUUGUUUGAUUCACCAUUAGAUCAACUUUUCUGUUCCAUCGCUAUAUCGGCCAAAUUCACUUAUGUAGUUAAGACAACUAUGGAGUUUACAUUUGCUCUCAAAACCGUUCCUGAAAUGUCUGCUCAUUGUUAUCAAUAUUUUAUCCCGAGGAAGAUAUCUAUAUUUCAUUGCACUCUACGAAAGCAUGAGCACUUGUAUUUUUGUUGUUGCCUAUGUGUACACGUGUGGUUUUUUUUUUUUUUUUAAGAAGAGGACGGUAUCCCAAUUUAUUGAUAGCCCUCACUUAUGGUGGAGGAAUACCGUGGUUACGACUAGAUGCCUAGGGGUUACAUAUAAUUAUAGAAUCCAAACCCAGGCAUCAAAAUAAGAUAUAGACUAACUCAAACACUAUACAGUUAUUAAAUAAAAACAAACAGAACUCAAAUAUUAAUAAAUCAAUUAAAUCCAAAUAAAUAUGCAUAAAAACCGAAAAGUUGACUAAAAAAACGUGCAUAGAAACCUGCAUAAUCCAAUUUAGUCUUGCUGAAUAGCUUCAACAAAGAAUAAG
Long non-coding RNA from Juglans microcarpa x Juglans regia, 659 nucleotides. RefSeq lists it as uncharacterized. NCBI's taxonomy places the organism in Eukaryota, Viridiplantae, Streptophyta, Magnoliopsida, Fagales, Juglandaceae. The record is from RefSeq and is a predicted model, not a curated record. The transcript has 2 exons.